AACGAACGCUGGCGGCAGGCCUAACACAUGCAAGUCGAGCGAACCCUUCGGGGUUAGCGGCGGACGGGUUAGUAACGCGUGGGAAUAUACCCUUUGGUACGGAAUAGCCUCGGGAAACUGAGAGUAAUACCGUAUGUGCCCUUCGGGGAAAGAUUUAUCGCCAAAGGAUUAGCCCGCGUUGGAUUAGAUAGUUGGUGGGGUAAUGGCCUACCAAGUCUACGAUCCAUAGCUGGUUUGAGAGGAUGAUCAGCAACACUGGGACUGAGACACGGCCCAGACUCCUACGGGAGGCAGCAGUGGGGAAUCUUAGACAAUGGGCGCAAGCCUGAUCUAGCCAUGCCGCGUGGACGAUGAAGGCCUUAGGGUUGUAAAGUCCUUUCAGAUGGGAAGAUAAUGACGGUACCAUCAGAAGAAGCCCCGGCUAACUCCGUGCCAGCAGCCGCGGUAAAGUAGACGUUCU
RNAcentral lists this ribosomal RNA (460 nucleotides) under uncultured bacterium. Its description in RNAcentral is "bacterial SSU rRNA". It matches the Rfam family "Bacterial small subunit ribosomal RNA", at positions 29 to 536 of the family's 1533-position model. The record is from RNAcentral.